CAAGGAGCCAAAUGGUCUUGCUCAUUGGGUCCCACUCCUACAGAACCCCACAAGCGAAGACCCACUGGCUUGAAAUCCCCACUGCCAGCACAGCCAUCUGGAGUCUGCCUACGACAACCAAGUUCCUGGGGGGAGGAGUGACGACCAUUAUUUUGGCUCUAGUUGGCGGUUUUCCCCUCCCAGUGUUAAGGAUACUGGGAGGUUUGAACUGAGCAGUAUUCCCCACAGUGCAGCAAAGCAGCUGUGGCAGAUCGUGGCCAGAUUGCUUCCUUAGGUGGGAGCCGGAUCCAUCCCUCCUCACUGGACAGGGCCUCCCUGCAGCAAUUUCAGCAGCUCCGAUCAGGGGCUUACAGACAGAACUCUCAUGUCCCUGGGACAGAGCACCUGGGGGAGGAGCGGCAGCAGUCUCAGGUUCAGCAGACUUAAUCUUUCCGGCUUGCUGGCUCUGAAGAGACCCACUGAUCCAGACGAGGGGGAUCCCCUCCCCCGCACAAAACACCAGCUCCACUAAGGGAGAGUCAGACUGCUUCCUUAAGUGGUUCCCUGAUCCCAUGUCUCCUAACUAGGUGAGACUUCCCAACAGGGGUCGCCAGACACCUCAUACAGGAGAUUUCUGGCUGGCAUCAGGUUGGUGCCCCUCUGGGACGAAGCUUCCGGAGGAAGGAGCAUGCAGCAAUCUUUGCUGUUCUG
Molecule: long non-coding RNA, 690 nt
Filed under: Homo sapiens (human)
Lineage: Eukaryota; Metazoa; Chordata; Mammalia; Primates; Hominidae
Description: HSALNT0183358
Source: RNAcentral